RNAcentral lists this long non-coding RNA (882 nucleotides) under Nicotiana benthamiana. RNAcentral's name for it is "long non-coding RNA (NBEN_LNC018039)". Lineage: Eukaryota; Viridiplantae; Streptophyta; Magnoliopsida; Solanales; Solanaceae. The record is from RNAcentral.
AACCAAUUAUGUUUUUAGCAGAUAACGCGACAAUCAUCUUCCUCCUCCAACCCCCAUAGCCACUGCCCAAGAAAGGAGUGGACACAAGAGAGACUCCAGGAACAUCAGAGGAGUAGAUAAAAAGGGGACUGGUAUGGUCCACUGAGGAGGUACUAGCAUUCAUAUUAGAAGCCAUGAACAACAAUCAGUUUGAAAUAAAAAAAAAUCUGGCUGGUAGAGUCCACUGAGGAGGUACUAGCAUUCAUAUUAGAAUCCAUGAACAAUAAUCAGUUUGAAAUAAAAAAAAAACCAGUCUCAGAACCCACAUGCAAAACAUACAACACUUAGAACAGGGAUAGAGUUACCCUCCUUCUUCGCGACCGGAGAAGAACGGCCUUCAAUCGCCGGAUAAAACUCUAGGUUCAAAACCCUAGGUCCAACCGCCGGAAACUUUAUUGGAAACUUACCGAAAUAGGGUCAGGGAUGUCGGAAAAUCACCCAAAACAUCCACCGUUGAGGAUCGAGCCACCGGAUAGUAGUAAAACCCUAGGUUCAACCACCAGAAACCCUAGAAUCUCGAGAGUCACCGGAAAAUCACCCAAAACGUUUGAGUGAAGAAGAUAUAGCCAGAUAUCACUAUGAAAGUCUCUGAUCAACAUCCGAUUUAGAUCAGAAUCGUCAUCGACCAAAUACGUCAGAAACACCCCCAAAAUUUCCAACGAGACUUCAACCAAGAUAACAAGAUGCAGGAAAGCAUAGUCGGAUCAUCGUCUAGGCUCUGAUACCAUGAAAAUAUCAAGAAAUCCAGACGAAAUCGAAGAACAGGAUGAGAGAGAGUCGGUUAGGUAGAAGCUUCUAGAGAGCAUUUUAGAGAGAGAAAUAAUCUGUAUUGAAAUGAAAAAU